Molecule: long non-coding RNA, 1062 nt
Organism: Gavia stellata (red-throated loon)
Lineage: Eukaryota; Metazoa; Chordata; Aves; Gaviiformes; Gaviidae
Exons: 3
Source: RefSeq, a predicted model, not a curated record
GUUGCCAUCCUCACAGGGUAACCUGCAUACCAAUAGGAUCUCCAAAAUGCCAUGAAGCAAAAGGAAGCAUGAUGCAUCUCCCCAACACCUAUUCAGAGAUACCUGCUUGUCCCAGAUUUGUAAUUCAUCAUUCAAAUGAAAGAGUUUACCUCCUACUUCAAUGCAAACUUCUGAGGUAGACCUGACUGCCAACAGCCGAAGAGGGAGAAGAGUUUGGGAUUGGAUCUCGAUUAUGGUUAUACAGCAUCAAUGGUGUCAGGCUCAAGGGAGGCAUUCGGCAGUCUGUAUCUGCUGUGCAAACCACUGAAAGCCUCCAUUUGACAGCUUUUCAAAAUAGCUACGCUUGGCACCACUUCUUUGGGCACAAUAUGUCCUCGAUAAUUUAUUUAGUUUAUAUAUUCAGCUGUGUACUAAUUAACUCUUUGCCUUUUGGAGUUCUGGUUUUCUGUUUAACGCAUUUAACAUUGUGGCAUUGCAGUCCCAGGGGAAAAAUUCUUCUGGCAUUUACCUGGGUUGAAUUUAGAGCAAUUUGAAGGGUUUCAGUGGAUUUACGCUGCCUUUUGAGAGCAGAAUUUGAUCCUCUCAGUGGAAUUAACAAACAGCUAUAAUUACCUCCAUUAAAAAAAAAGUGCAAACAGAUUUUACCUUCCUUUCUCACCAUUUGUUUUUUAUGUGCCAAAGGACACUUAGCAGAGGACAGCGCAAAGCUUUUCGAGGAGGCUCACUCAAGCCAGUAAAGUCAGCAGCGAGAAAGAACCUAGAUUUUGAAUUGGGCCCCCAUUAAAAUUGCUCAAAGGGCAGCGACUUUCAAGAUUUUAAUUUUUAAAUUUUGGUCUGGAGCAGUGGGAUUAACUGAAUGCAGUUUGUUCUGAGCAAAGGGUCAAUGUGAAGAAAAUCAGAGCUAAGGCUUGCGUUGUUUUGCAGGCCCCAUGCUUAUUGAAUUAGUAGUUAACGUUUGCAGGAAUUUUCAGUUUAGGGGUGUGGAAAACCCUGUCACUAUUAGAAGUUAGUGUUCAAAAGCGAUUUGUAGCAAGUUAGAUAGAUAGAGCAGCACACAGGAUA